Molecule: ribosomal RNA, 2902 nt
Filed under: Escherichia coli
Lineage: Bacteria; Pseudomonadati; Pseudomonadota; Gammaproteobacteria; Enterobacterales; Enterobacteriaceae
Description: 23S ribosomal RNA
Rfam family: Bacterial large subunit ribosomal RNA
Source: RNAcentral
GGUUAAGCGACUAAGCGUACACGGUGGAUGCCCUGGCAGUCAGAGGCGAUGAAGGACGUGCUAAUCUGCGAUAAGCGUCGGUAAGGUGAUAUGAACCGUUAUAACCGGCGAUUUCCGAAUGGGGAAACCCAGUGUGUUUCGACACACUAUCAUUAACUGAAUCCAUAGGUUAAUGAGGCGAACCGGGGGAACUGAAACAUCUAAGUACCCCGAGGAAAAGAAAUCAACCGAGAUUCCCCCAGUAGCGGCGAGCGAACGGGGAGGAGCCCAGAGCCUGAAUCAGUGUGUGUGUUAGUGGAAGCGUCUGGAAAGGCGCGCGAUACAGGGUGACAGCCCCGUACACAAAAAUGCACAUAUUGUGAGCUCGAUGAGUAGGGCGGGACACGUGGUAUCCUGUCUGAAUAUGGGGGGACCAUCCUCCAAGGCUAAAUACUCCUGACUGACCGAUAGUGAACCAGUACCGUGAGGGAAAGGCGAAAAGAACCCCGGCGAGGGGAGUGAAAAAGAACCUGAAACCGUGUACGUACAAGCAGUGGGAGCCUCUUUUAUGGGGUGACUGCGUACCUUUUGUAUAAUGGGUCAGCGACUUAUAUUCUGUAGCAAGGUUAACCGAAUAGGGGAGCCGAAGGGAAACCGAGUCUUAACUGGGCGUUAAGUUGCAGGGUAUAGACCCGAAACCCGGUGAUCUAGCCAUGGGCAGGUUGAAGGUUGGGUAACACUAACUGGAGGACCGAACCGACUAAUGUUGAAAAAUUAGCGGAUGACUUGUGGCUGGGGGUGAAAGGCCAAUCAAACCGGGAGAUAGCUGGUUCUCCCCGAAAGCUAUUUAGGUAGCGCCUCGUGAAUUCAUCUCCGGGGGUAGAGCACUGUUUCGGCAAGGGGGUCAUCCCGACUUACCAACCCGAUGCAAACUGCGAAUACCGGAGAAUGUUAUCACGGGAGACACACGGCGGGUGCUAACGUCCGUCGUGAAGAGGGAAACAACCCAGACCGCCAGCUAAGGUCCCAAAGUCAUGUUAAGUGGGAAACGAUGUGGGAAGGCCCAGACAGCCAGGAUGUUGGCUUAGAAGCAGCCAUCAUUUAAAGAAAGCGUAAUAGCUCACUGGUCGAGUCGGCCUGCGCGGAAGAUGUAACGGGGCUAAACCAUGCACCGAAGCUGCGGCAGCGACACUAUGUGUUGUUGGGUAGGGGAGCGUUCUGUAAGCCUGUGAAGGUGUGCUGUGAGGCAUGCUGGAGGUAUCAGAAGUGCGAAUGCUGACAUAAGUAACGAUAAAGCGGGUGAAAAGCCCGCUCGCCGGAAGACCAAGGGUUCCUGUCCAACGUUAAUCGGGGCAGGGUGAGUCGACCCCUAAGGCGAGGCCGAAAGGCGUAGUCGAUGGGAAACAGGUUAAUAUUCCUGUACUUGGUGUUACUGCGAAGGGGGGACGGAGAAGGCUAUGUUGGCCGGGCGACGGUUGUCCCGGUUUAAGCGUGUAGGCUGGUUUUCCAGGCAAAUCCGGAAAAUCAAGGCUGAGGCGUGAUGACGAGGCACUACGGUGCUGAAGCAACAAAUGCCCUGCUUCCAGGAAAAGCCUCUAAGCAUCAGGUAACAUCAAAUCGUACCCCAAACCGACACAGGUGGUCAGGUAGAGAAUACCAAGGCGCUUGAGAGAACUCGGGUGAAGGAACUAGGCAAAAUGGUGCCGUAACUUCGGGAGAAGGCACGCUGAUAUGUAGGUGAAGUCCCUCGCGGAUGGAGCUGAAAUCAGUCGAAGAUACCAGCUGGCUGCAACUGUUUAUUAAAAACACAGCACUGUGCAAACACGAAAGUGGACGUAUACGGUGUGACGCCUGCCCGGUGCCGGAAGGUUAAUUGAUGGGGUCAGCGCAAGCGAAGCUCUUGAUCGAAGCCCCGGUAAACGGCGGCCGUAACUAUAACGGUCCUAAGGUAGCGAAAUUCCUUGUCGGGUAAGUUCCGACCUGCACGAAUGGCGUAAUGAUGGCCAGGCUGUCUCCACCCGAGACUCAGUGAAAUUGAACUCGCUGUGAAGAUGCAGUGUACCCGCGGCAAGACGGAAAGACCCCGUGAACCUUUACUAUAGCUUGACACUGAACAUUGAGCCUUGAUGUGUAGGAUAGGUGGGAGGCUUAGAAGUGUGGACGCCAGUCUGCAUGGAGCCGACCUUGAAAUACCACCCUUUAAUGUUUGAUGUUCUAACGUGGACCCGUGAUCCGGGUUGCGGACAGUGUCUGGUGGGUAGUUUGACUGGGGCGGUCUCCUCCUAAAGAGUAACGGAGGAGCACGAAGGUUGGCUAAUCCUGGUCGGACAUCAGGAGGUUAGUGCAAUGGCAUAAGCCAGCUUGACUGCGAGCGUGACGGCGCGAGCAGGUGCGAAAGCAGGUCAUAGUGAUCCGGUGGUUCUGAAUGGAAGGGCCAUCGCUCAACGGAUAAAAGGUACUCCGGGGAUAACAGGCUGAUACCGCCCAAGAGUUCAUAUCGACGGCGGUGUUUGGCACCUCGAUGUCGGCUCAUCACAUCCUGGGGCUGAAGUAGGUCCCAAGGGUAUGGCUGUUCGCCAUUUAAAGUGGUACGCGAGCUGGGUUUAGAACGUCGUGAGACAGUUCGGUCCCUAUCUGCCGUGGGCGCUGGAGAACUGAGGGGGGCUGCUCCUAGUACGAGAGGACCGGAGUGGACGCAUCACUGGUGUUCGGGUUGUCAUGCCAAUGGCACUGCCCGGUAGCUAAAUGCGGAAGAGAUAAGUGCUGAAAGCAUCUAAGCACGAAACUUGCCCCGAGAUGAGUUCUCCCUGACCCUUUAAGGGUCCUGAAGGAACGUUGAAGACGACGACGUUGAUAGGCCGGGUGUGUAAGCGCAGCGAUGCGUUGAGCUAACCGGUACUAAUGAACCGUGAGGCUUAACCUU